RNAcentral lists this ribosomal RNA (440 nucleotides) under uncultured bacterium. Its description in RNAcentral is "partial 16S ribosomal RNA". It matches the Rfam family "Bacterial small subunit ribosomal RNA", at positions 338 to 795 of the family's 1533-position model. The record is from RNAcentral.
CCUACGGGUGGCAGCAGUGGGGAAUAUUGCACAAUGGGGGAAACCCUGAUGCAGUGACGCCGCGUGAGUGAAGAAGUAUUUCGGUAUGUAAAGCUCUAUCAGCAGGGAAGAAAAUGACGGUACCUGACUAAGAACCCCCGGCUAACUACGUGCCAGCAGCCGCGGUAAUACGUAGGGGGCAAGCGUUAUCCGGAUUUAAUGGGGGGAACGGGAGCGUAGACGGCAGCACAAGUCUGGAGUGAAAGGCCGGGGCUUAACCGCGGGACUGCUUUGGAAACUGUGCAGCUAGAGUGCAGGAGAGGUAAGUGGAAUUCCAUGUGUAGCGGUGAAAUGCGUAGAUAUUAGGAGGAACACCAGUGGCGAAGGCGGCUUACUGGACUGUAACUGACGUUGAGGCUCGAAAGCGUGGGGAGCAAACAGGAUUAGAUACCCCUGUAGUC